RNAcentral lists this long non-coding RNA (2550 nucleotides) under Sus scrofa (pig). RNAcentral's name for it is "lncRNA (ENSSSCG00030010905.1)". Lineage: Eukaryota; Metazoa; Chordata; Mammalia; Artiodactyla; Suidae. The record is from RNAcentral.
CUAUGCUUUAACAGCAUGCCACCCUCCUGCUCAGGAAGAGGUGGCUGAUGGCAUGCUUCAGAUAUGAAGUAACUUUGGCUUAAUGCUGGGCUAUAGGGAAUUGGGGAUUUCUUUCUUUCUUUCUUUUUCUUUUUUUUUUUUUUUACAAAUUAGCAUUUUAAAUUGACAAGAAACUCUAGGCUUCCAGAUUACUAUUAUUAGUGAAAAAUGUUUAAAUACUGUGCAUUUUGAAUUAUAAUGUAUUUGAGAAAGAUUUCUGCUUUUCUUUUUCUUAAAGUUUUUGAGAAGAAAUCAUUGCAGUUUAAAAUCUACUAGUGUAGAGCUUUUAUUCUUUUACUCAUCCUCUAUGCUAAGAGAGAGAAAGAGAAAUCGAUCUAUGUAUUGGACCAUAAUGAUCAAUAUAAUGGUCUCUGAUUCAGCACGCAAGCUUCUCCCCCAGUGGUCUCUGAUUCAGCCCGCAAGCUUCUCCCCCACCUUGGUGCAACCUAUAAAUUCUUUGUCAAGAGUUUACCUCAGAGGCAUAUGCAACAAGUUGGAUUUGAACAAAUCUUAUCAAAAUGAGGGUUCAUACAUAUCAACUGAACUAAUGACAAUGUAAAUGAAUUCUCAGAAAAAUUUUUUAACAGCUUGACUUUAAAUGAUUUUAGCCCUGAAAAAUGGAGGAGCAACAUAGAUAGACUUAACGUUAUAUUGCACAACUUUGCAGAGAUUAGACACAGGGAGGGAAAGCCAGAGAUCCUACUCUUUCUGGAUCUCUAGAUCUGAAAGAAUUGAUUUUAUUCUUGAAGAAAUAGGAGAAAAACUUUUCAUUCUCCUUCGAAGAUUAUAGUGUCUCUCCCCAGUGAAUUAAUUUCAGAAAUAGAAAACUUUAAGAGCAUUUUUAAUUGAUUAAACUUGCUGACAGAACAGAACUUAUCUCUGACAAGUGACAGGGAAUAAGGAUGUGGGCAUAUGACAUUUCAACUUUGAAAAAGGACCCAUAGAGGAGGUUGGAAAGGGAUGUGAGAAGCUAAUUCUCUCUCACUCAUAACAACAGGCUAAUAUCUGGAGAAAAAUGGGAAUGAAAUCAAUAUGUCUAGAUUACAUUGACAAGUGCUGUGUAAAAUCUCUCUAGUCAUAAAACAUUAAAAUAUACUAAUUUUCAGGAGAAAAUCAGAUGUAGAAGAAGAUAAAAAAUUAGGAAAGCAAAUUUCUUUUCAAUGAAGGUAUCAGGAGGAAUAAGUGGGGACAAAUUACACAGGAAGAUAUCUAAGGACCAAUUUUCUUUUUUUUUUUUUUUUUUUUUUUUUUUUUUUUUUUGGAUAAGUAGGAUGUCUUUCUUUUUCUUCUCCCUCUACCCUCAAAUAAAUGAGGAAUGGCAAAGAAGUCUUUUGUGAAAAAUAUGUCAGGAGUAGGAAGAAAGAUGGGAACUCACAUAAGAACAUCUGUUCUGCAAAGCCAUUUGAAAAAAUAACUGGGUAUUAACGUGAAAGAAAAUGUGCUCAGCAUGAAACUAACCGCAAGUAAUGUGGUAGCAGGGAGGUGGAAGAGUGACACAAGGAACUUGCACCCCCACUGAGAGAGAACUUCUGAGUGUCCGAAUCCAAGUCAUCCCCUCAGUUAAUGUAAGAGGAAGUGGUGACAGACAAUAUCCAGGCAAAUUGUCUGUGAAGUGGCACAAGUUGCAACUGAAUCAAGAUCUAGAGAUGGAAAAGCCAUAUUAAAACAAAUGAAAAUGAAAAUAAAUUUUAGGGUUUUUGUUUAUUUUAUUUUGACUUUACAUGGUGCAGUGGAAACGAAUCCAACUAUGAACCAUGAGGUUAUGGGUUCAUUCCUGGCCUCACUCAGUGGGUUGAGGAUCUGGGCGUUGCCCUGAGCUGUGGUGUAGGUCGCAUGGAUCUGGCAAUGCUAUGGCUGUGGUGUAGGCCGGCACUGCAGCUCCAAUUCAACCGCUAGUGUGGGAACCUCCAUAUGCCAUGGAUGCGGCCCUAAAAAAAGACAAAAGACAAAAGACAAAAAAUAAAUAAAUUCUGUAUUUUUUAGAUGUCCCUUUUAUUUCAAUUUCACAUACUUCAGAGACAGUUUUGAACAAUUGGAGAAUAUGGUCAAAUGCUUUCAAUUGCCUAAGAUUCUGAAAAUGCUUGAUUUUUAUAUCUGGAAUUAUAAGAAUAUUAUCAAAUUUGCUAUUGUUGCCAAAAGAGACAUAGCCAGAAAGCACCUUUCACAACCUCUUUUAACUCAGGACAGUUUUAAAGUAUCUUUAUCUAACAAUUUAGUUGUUUCAGUGUUCAAGAAAGUAGUGAAAAGAGAAAUGUUUGCAAAUAUAAUCUUUUUAAAAUUGAAAAAAAAAAACAAAACUGUCAAAAGUUGGAGUUUUGUUUGUGACUCAGCUGGUUAAGGACUGAACAUUUUCUCUGUGAGGAUGUGGUUUUGAUCCCCAGCCUUGCUCAGUGGGUUAAGGAUCUGGUAUUGCUGCAAGCUGUGGCAUGGGUUGCAGAUGUGACAGGGAUUAGCUGUUGUCAUGGCUGUGGCAUAGGCCCAAGCUGCAGCUCUGAUUCAACUCCUAGCCUC